GCGUAGGUGAUGGACAACAGGUUGAUAUUCCUGUACUACCGAUAACCGUUUGAGAGAAGGGAUGACACAGUAGGAUAAGCUAAGCACACUGUUGGUUAUGUGUGCCCAAGCAUUGAGGCAGUCAAAGCAGGCAAAUCCGCUUUGAUAAUGCUGGGAUGUGAUGGGGAGCGAAAUUUAGUAGCGAAGUAGCCGAUUUCACACUGUCAAGAAAAGUCUCUAUCGAGGGUAAAGGUACCCGUACCCCAAACCGACACCGGUGGGUGAGGAGAGUAUCCUAAGGCCAGCGAGAGAACUGUUGUUAAGGAACUCGGCAAAAUGACCCCGUAACUUAGGGAUAAGGGGUGCCACCAUCAGGUGGCCGCAGAGAAUAGGCCCAAGCGACUGUUUACCAAAAACAUAGGUUUCUGCUAAGUCGCAAGACGAUGUAUAGGAGCUGACGCCUGCCCGGUGCUGGAAGGUUAAGGGGAUCUGUUAGAGCAA
Molecule: ribosomal RNA, 480 nt
Filed under: Clostridioides difficile
Lineage: Bacteria; Bacillati; Bacillota; Clostridia; Peptostreptococcales; Peptostreptococcaceae
Description: bacterial LSU rRNA
Rfam family: Bacterial large subunit ribosomal RNA
Source: RNAcentral